CUUUUCCACACACUGCCUCUUGUGCUGGUUCUGCAUCUGAAGAGGUUUGGAGGACCUGGGGGGUUGGAGAAGCUGGAGGCUCCUCUUUUGUUUCCUUCGGAGCUGAGGCUCUCCACCCUCUGUGGGGACAUGGUGCCACACCUGCACAGUGCCAGCCCACAGGCCCUCACCAACCUGGCCCCCAGCAUCCAGGGGUCCAUCCCCCAGACCCUCAAAAGCCAAGUCUCCAGCCCAGCUGGAGAGGCCAAAGACAGCACCCUCUGCUGUUCAGAUUCAAAUGACCAGGAACCAGGGAAAGUGUUGCUGACAGCCUCAGUGAAGCAGCAGCCAGUGAAGUCAGUGAAUGGAUACUACCAGCUGACUGGUGUAGUCUCUCAUUUGGAAGGCUCCGCAAACUCCGUGCACUACAUUAGUGACAUCUUGCAUGCCAGUGGAAACUGGUUCUGCUGUAACGACAGCCAGGUGUCAAUGUCCAAUGAAGCCACUGUGCUGAGGACCAGAGCCCGGAGUGCCUACAUGCUCUUCUAUAUGUUCAGGGCAAGAGAGCGGGAGGCCCCAGCACACAGGGCCUAACAUGGCCACCUGCACCAGCCCCAGCCUAAACAGGGGCAGCACCUGGACCGGCCUCAACACACUCAGCUCAGCCUCAACAGGGUCAGCACCUGAACGAGCCUCAACAGGGUCAGCACUGGGCCCAACAUCAACAACCCCGAGCCCAGCCUCAACAGGGGCAGCACCUGGCCCAGCUUCAACACCCCCAGCCCAGCCUCAACACACUCACACCUGUCUCAACAGGGGCAACACCUGGCACAGUUUCAACACCCCCAGCCCAGCCUCAACACACUCACACCUGUCUCAACAGGGGCAACACCUGGCACAGCUUCAACACCCCCAGCCCAGCCUCAACAUGGGAAGAACCAGGCCCAGUCUCAACAUGGACAAAACAAGACCCAGCCCCAACACCCUCAGCCCUGCCUCAACAGGUGCAGCACUCAGCCCAACUUUAAUCAUGGGGCUCAAGGGAGACUUGCUCUUCAUCACUAGCAUGAACAUUCUUUCAGUAGCUUAUGUCAUAAAUGCCUGCCCUUGAUUUGACUACUUCACCUAAUGUAUAAAGCUCAUGUAAAAAAACAUAUAAAGUAUACACACUAAAUGUAGUACACAUGUAAAUGUGGUGGAUAGAGUGUGUGAUUAUUUAGAGGGUAUAACAUCCCUUCUAUUUGGUUUGGUUUGAAAUCCUCCUGUUGUGAAAUACACUGUGGUGUAUAACUUCUUAUUCAGCAUGGUCAGACUGGAUGACCUGCAAUAUUCAACAUUGAUCCAGGUCCCCAGCAUGUCGGGAG
RNAcentral lists this long non-coding RNA (1343 nucleotides) under Salmo salar (Atlantic salmon). RNAcentral describes it as "lncRNA (ENSSSAG00000098665.1)". The record is from RNAcentral. Lineage: Eukaryota; Metazoa; Chordata; Actinopteri; Salmoniformes; Salmonidae.